Molecule: ribosomal RNA, 492 nt
Filed under: uncultured bacterium
Lineage: Bacteria
Description: partial 16S ribosomal RNA
Rfam family: Bacterial small subunit ribosomal RNA
Source: RNAcentral
AUUGAACGCUGGCGGCAUGCUUUACACAUGCAAGUCGAACGGUAACAGGCCUUCUGGUGCUGACGAGUGGCGAACGGGUGAGUAAUGCAUCGGAACGCACCCAGAGGUGGGGGAUAACGCAGCGAAAGCUGUGCUAAUACCGCAUGUGAUCUGAGGAUGAAAGCGGGGGACCGAGCAGCAAUGUUUGGCCUCGCGCCUUUGGAGCGGCCGAUGUCGGAUUAGCUAGUUGGUGGGGUAAAGGCCUACCAAGGCGACGAUCCGUAGCUGGUCUGAGAGGACGACCAGCCACACUGGGACUGAGACACGGCCCAGACUCCUACGGGAGGCAGAAGUGGGGAAAUUUGGACAAUGGGCGCAAGCCUGAUCCAGCAAUGCCGCGUGCGGGAAGAAGGCCUUCGGGUUGUAAACCGCUUUUGGCAGGAACGAAACGGUGUCCGCUAAUACCGGGCGCUAAUGACGGUACCUGCAGAAUAAGCACCGGCUAACUACGUG